Molecule: ribosomal RNA, 468 nt
Filed under: uncultured bacterium
Lineage: Bacteria
Description: partial 16S ribosomal RNA
Rfam family: Bacterial small subunit ribosomal RNA
Source: RNAcentral
GACGAACGCUGGCGGCGUGCUUAACACAUGCAAGUCGAACGGAAAGGCCCUGCUUUUGUGGGGUGCUCGAGUGGCGAACGGGUGAGUAACACGUGAGUAACCUGCCCUUGACUUUGGGAUAACUUCAGGAAACUGGGGCUAAUACCGGAUAGGAGCUCCUGCUGCAUGGUGGGGGUUGGAAAGUUUCGGCGGUUGGGGAUGGACUCGCGGCUUAUCAGCUUGUUGGUGGGGUAGUGGCUUACCAAGGCUUUGACGGGUAGCCGGCCUGAGAGGGUGGCCGGCCACAUUGGGACUGAGAGACGGACCAGACUCCUACGGGAGGCAGCAGUGGGGAAUAUUGCACAAUGGGCGGGAGCCUGAUGCAGCAACGCCGCGUGCGGGAUGACGGCCUUCGGGUUGUAAACCGCUUUCGCCUGUGACGAAGCGUGAGUGACGGUAAUGGGUAAAGAAGCACCGGCUAACUACGUG